AAAGAAUGGUUGGACGAGAUAUAAUCUGUUUCAUUUAAAAUUAAUUAGAAUUUUAUUUUUUAGUUAAAAAGCUAAAAUAUAUUCAAAAGACGAGAAGACCCUAUAAAUCUUGAUUAUUUAGUAAUUUUUAAUUUAUUUUGAUUUUUUUUAUUAUAAAUUUAUUAAUUAAUUUUAUUGGGGUGAUAUUAAAAUUUAAAUAACUUUUAAUAAUUUUUGUCAUUUAUUUAUGAUUAAGUGAUCCGUUAUUAGUGAUUAAAAAAUUAAGUUACUUUAGGGAUAACAGCGUAAUUUUUUUGGAGAGUUCUUAUCGAUAAAAAAGUUUGCGACCUCGAUGUUGGAUUAAGAUUCAUAUUUAAAUGCAGAAGUUUAAAUAUAAAGUCUGUUCGACUUUUUAUUCUUACAUGAUCUGAGUUCAAACCGGUGUAAGCCAGGUUGGUUUCUAUCUUUGAUUUAAUAAAAUAUUUUAGUACGAAAGGAAUUAAUAUUUAUUUUUAAAAAAUUAAUUUAUGAAUAAAUUUAAUUACUAU
RNAcentral lists this ribosomal RNA (527 nucleotides) under Teleopsis dalmanni. Its description in RNAcentral is "partial 16S ribosomal RNA". The stretch from base 276 to 434 matches the Rfam family "Bacterial large subunit ribosomal RNA", at positions 2473 to 2632 of the family's 2925-position model. The record is from RNAcentral. Lineage: Eukaryota; Metazoa; Arthropoda; Insecta; Diptera; Diopsidae.